This is a long non-coding RNA of Canis lupus familiaris (dog), 461 nucleotides long. RefSeq lists it as uncharacterized. The record is from RefSeq and is a predicted model, not a curated record. NCBI's taxonomy places the organism in Eukaryota, Metazoa, Chordata, Mammalia, Carnivora, Canidae. The transcript has 3 exons.
CCUGAACUGAAUGAAGGCAGUUGCUUAACUGACUGAGCCACCCAGCUGCCCCAAGAUAAGCAUUCUUUAAAAAGCAAGGACAAUAUCAACACAACACUGGAGACAAGGAACUGGAAUCAUCCAAAUUAUUGCAAGAUCAAAGAGGGCAGCACUGCUCCAAGACACCAGUACGUCCAAGCAAAGGAAGAUGUGGUAAGACACAGUAUGCAACUCUAUAUGCUUUCAUCUGCCCUGAAACGUGGAGAGCUAGUCCGUGGGGACUCCAACAGUUCUUUGAAAACAAGAUCUCUAGCUGAGUGAAAAUGGACUAUGGGGAGCAGGAUGAAGCAAGGACUUUUGAACACCAAGAACUAACUUUAUGUAAUAAGAUUAGAGACUUUUAAGUAUAAAGGUCAACAGGUCACAUUCCAGUUACUUCAAUGAGAACCAACCAUAAUAAAAUAAAGUCUACUUUUUUUGAU